GGAAAGUAAAAGUCGUAACAAGGUUUCCGUAGGUGAACCUGCGGAAGGAUCAUUACAGAGUUCAUGCCCUCACGGGUAGAUCUCCCACCCUUGAAUAUUUAUACCUUAGUUGCUUUGGCAGGCCGUGGAAACACCAUGGGCUCCGGCUUAUGCGUGCCUGCCAGAGGAAACAAACUCUGUUUUUAGUGAUGUCUGAGUACUAUAUAAUAGUUAAAACUUUCAACAACGGAUCUCUUGGUUCUG
RNAcentral lists this unclassified non-coding RNA (243 nucleotides) under plant metagenome. Its description in RNAcentral is "partial contains small subunit ribosomal RNA, internal transcribed spacer 1, and 5.8S ribosomal RNA". The stretch from base 1 to 55 matches the Rfam family "Eukaryotic small subunit ribosomal RNA", at positions 1777 to 1831 of the family's 1831-position model. The record is from RNAcentral.